CUAUUUCCUCAGCAGAGCGCGCCAAGAGAUUGGCCGCACAGCGUGGAGGGAUGCUGCCUUCCGCUGUGGACUUGUUCAUGGAUACACACAUGAGGGAUGAGUCUGGAAAGAAGGUUCCGAUCAACGACAAAGUCCAAAAAAUCAAGGAAAGUUAUGACAAAACUCUUGCUCAAUGUGAAGAAAGAGGUGAAACCAAGGCCCCGAACCAGAUUUUCUUUGAGACUGUUGGUGGCAGAAAGAAAGGGUGGGUUCCUGGUUUGG
Beta vulgaris subsp. vulgaris (sugar beet) is the source of this 261-nucleotide long non-coding RNA. RefSeq lists it as uncharacterized. The record is from RefSeq and is a predicted model, not a curated record. Lineage: Eukaryota; Viridiplantae; Streptophyta; Magnoliopsida; Caryophyllales; Amaranthaceae. The transcript has 3 exons.